RNAcentral lists this ribosomal RNA (468 nucleotides) under uncultured bacterium. RNAcentral's name for it is "partial 16S ribosomal RNA". It matches the Rfam family "Bacterial small subunit ribosomal RNA", at positions 28 to 507 of the family's 1533-position model. The record is from RNAcentral.
GACGAACGCUGGCGGCGUGCUUAACACAUGCAAGUCGAACGGAGAGGCCCUGCUUUUGUGGGGUGAUGGAGGGGCGAACGGGUGCGUAACACGUGAGUAACCUGCCCUUGACUUUGGGAUAACUUCAGGAAAGUGGGGCUAAUACCGGAUAGGAGAUCCUGCUGCAUGGAGGGGGUUGGAAAGUUUCGGCGGUUGUGGAUGGACUCGCGGCUUAUCGGCUUGUUGGUGGGGUAGUGGCUGACCAAGUCUUUGACGGGUAGGCGGCCCGGGAGGGUGGCCGGCCACCUGGGGCCUGCGAGAGGCCCCAGACGCCUACGGUAGGCAGUAGGGGGGAACAUGGCACAAUGGGCGGAAGCCUGAGGCAGCAACGCCGCGGUUGGGAUGACGGCCUUCGGGUUGUAAACCGCUGUCGCCUGUGACGAAGCGUUAGUGACGGUAAUGGGUAAAUAAGCACCGGCUAACUACGUG